GUCUUUUUGAUUCCAAGCCCAGUGCUCUAUCCACUCUAUCCACAACUAUCAUCUCUCUAUGUAAUUGGGAAAAUAAAAUCACCCAAAGUAAGCCUAUCUGAUCAGUGUAGACCAGGAGCUCCUAAACUAUGGUCCAUGGCCUUGUUUUAAAAUACAUAUUUAUAAUCAGAUUUCAAUAUGAUUGGUUUCCUUUAUGAUCACACACAUAUUAUAUAAGAAAAGAUUGCUCCAAGAAGAACUUCAUAGUUUCACCAGAUUACCAAAGGGUCCAUGACCCCAAAAGGGUAAGAAUGUGUGAGAUAGAGGGAUACUGAUGGCAUUUGGGUUUGGUUUUUAUACCCAGGAGAAGUCAGAGAUGAAUGAUCCAGGAAAGGAACGAAGCUCUGAUGCCAAUGAGACUCUAGAGGGUGAAGAAGUUCCACUUGAGGGUCCAAAGGCCUCUAUCCCACAAGAGUCCCAGGAAAUGAUCCUUCUUCAAGAACAGCUGGUGACUAUCAAAGAGAUGAAUAAGGACCUCUCCUUAGAACUGGCCCAGAGCCACCAGCGUCUAAGGAUCUGUUUAGACCAGCUGGACCAGCUGCAGACAGAGAAGAAGAUUUCCCACAGCCAGAUCCAAGUCCUAGAGACUGAGAGGGACCAGCUGGUGGGAGAGAACUUGGUCCUAUUGUCUGUGCUUCAGGGACUCACACCAGCUCCCUGGCAAAAUGGUGAGGCUAGUAGAGAUCCUCACUUCCUGGAGUUGGCAACUUCCCAGCAGGAGCCAGAAGAGGAAGCAUUGUGCUCCAGGACCCACCAGGAGGUAGUUCAGUAUUGGAAAGCUCGAUGGCAUCAGGUGGCAAAUGAGCUGAAAUCCAAGGAGGAGGAACUGGAGAUGAUCCAGAGGCAGAGGAGAAGCUGGUCAUGCCAGAUCCCCUGGAUCCAAGAGCUUCUUGUAGGGGAAGAGGAAGACCUCGAUAAGUUGAAAGAUGCUGUGGGCAGGUAGGUGACUUCUGAACCUUAUUGGCUGCCGGAUGGUGUUUGGAUCUGGGAGGGGAAGGAGUAGGGGCUGAAGACUUAUUUAGGAGCUGUCUGGUAGGAAGGGCAGGGAUUCCAUAGCCUUCCUUACUGUAGUUCCCUGAUGAAGGAAUAAUCCCCACAUUGGUUAAUGGGUCUCCAUGAGUCUUAUUGACUAGAAUUGUGGUUGAGGUUGACUUGGAAGAGGAAGGUAAGGAGUCUAGAGUGAAAGGUAGAAG
Molecule: long non-coding RNA, 1232 nt
Filed under: Monodelphis domestica (gray short-tailed opossum)
Lineage: Eukaryota; Metazoa; Chordata; Mammalia; Didelphimorphia; Didelphidae
Description: lncRNA (ENSMODG00000043715.1)
Source: RNAcentral